AAUGGCCGAAAGGCUGACGCAGCAACGCCGCGUGGGUGAAGAAGGCCUUCGGGUUGUAAAGCCCUUUUGGCAGGGGUGAAAAAAAUGACGGUACCUGCAGAAAAAGCACCGGCAAACCAUGUGCCAGCAGCCGCGGUAAUACAUGGGGUGCAAGCGUUACUCGGAAUCACUGGGCGUAAAGAGCGCGUAGGCGGCUUGGUAAGUCUGAUGUGAAAGCCCCGGACUCAAUUCGGGAAGUGCAUUGGAUACUGCUAAGCUAGAGUACAGGAGAGGUGAACGGAAUUCCUGGUGUAGAGGUGAAAUUCGUAGAUAUCAGGAGGAACAACAGUGGCGAAGGCGGUUCACUGGACUGUCACUGACGCUGAGGCGCGAAAGCGUGGGGAGCAAA
RNAcentral lists this ribosomal RNA (388 nucleotides) under uncultured bacterium. RNAcentral's name for it is "bacterial SSU rRNA". It matches the Rfam family "Bacterial small subunit ribosomal RNA", at positions 370 to 772 of the family's 1533-position model. The record is from RNAcentral.